UAUACAUGCAAGUCGUACGCCUGGCCCAACUGAUUGAUGGUGCUUGCACCUGAUUGACGAUGGAUCACCAGUGAGUGGCGGACGGGUGAGUAACACGUAGGUAACCUGCCCCGGAGCGGGGGAUAACAUUUGGAAACAGAUGCUAAUACCGCAUAACAACAAAAGCCACAUGGCUUUUGUUUGAAAGAUGGCUUUGGCUAUCACUCUGGGAUGGACCUGCGGUGCAUUAGCUAGUUGGUAAGGUAACGGCUUACCAAGGCGAUGAUGCAUAGCCGAGUUGAGAGACUGAUCGGCCACAAUGGAACUGAGACACGGUCCAUACUCCUACGGGAGGCAGCAGUAGGGAAUCUUCCACAAUGGGCGCAAGCCUGAUGGAGCAACACCGCGUGAGUGAAGAAGGGUUUCGGCUCGUAAAGCUCUGUUGUUGGAGAAGAACGUGCGUGAGAGUAACUGUUCACGCAGUGACGGUAUCCAACCAGAAAGUCACGGCUAACUACGUGCCAGCAGCCGCGGUAAUACGUAGGUGGCAAGCGUUAUCCGGAUUUAUUGGGCGUAAAGCGAGCGCAGGCGGUUGCUUAGGUCUGAUGUGAAAGCCUUCGGCUUAACCGAAGAAGUGCAUCGGAAACCGGGCGACUUGAGUGCAGAAGAGGACAGUGGAACUCCAUGUGUAGCGGUGGAAUGCGUAGAUAUAU
This 692-nucleotide ribosomal RNA is filed under the name Limosilactobacillus reuteri. RNAcentral describes it as "bacterial SSU rRNA". It matches the Rfam family "Bacterial small subunit ribosomal RNA", at positions 50 to 699 of the family's 1533-position model. Lineage: Bacteria; Bacillati; Bacillota; Bacilli; Lactobacillales; Lactobacillaceae. The record is from RNAcentral.